GCGGGCGUGUUGAAAUUGGUAGACAAGCUAGACUUAGGAUCUAGUGCCUGGUGCGUAUGGGUUCGAGUCCCUUCGCCCGCA
This 81-nucleotide transfer RNA is filed under the name Candidatus Cryptobacteroides pullicola. RNAcentral's name for it is "tRNA-Leu". It matches the Rfam family "tRNA". From Rfam's summary of the family: Transfer RNA (tRNA) molecules are approximately 80 nucleotides in length. Their secondary structure includes four short double-helical elements and three loops (D, anti-codon, and T loops). Further hydrogen bonds mediate the characteristic L-shaped molecular structure. tRNAs have two regions of fundamental functional importance: the anti-codon, which is responsible for specific mRNA codon recognition, and the 3' end, to which the tRNAs corresponding amino acid is attached (by aminoacyl-tRNA synthetases). tRNAs cope with the degeneracy of the genetic code in two manners: having more than one tRNA (with a specific anti-codon) for a particular amino acid; and 'wobble' base-pairing, i.e. permitting non-standard base-pairing at the 3rd anti-codon position. Lineage: Bacteria; Pseudomonadati; Bacteroidota; Bacteroidia; Bacteroidales. The record is from RNAcentral.